AGUGAACGCUGGCGGUAGGCCUAACACAUGCAAGUCGAACGGCAGCACAGUAAGAGCUUGCUCUUACGGGUGGCGAGUGGCGGACGGGUGAGGAAUACAUCGGAAUCUACUUUUUCGUGGGGGAUAACGUAGGGAAACUUGCGCUAAUACCGCAUACGACCUACGGGUGAAAGCAGGGGAUCUUCGGACCUUGCGCGAUUGAAUGAGCCGAUGUCGGAUUAGCUAGUUGGCGGGGUAAAGGCCCACCAAGGCGACGAUCCGUAGCUGGUCUGAGAGGAUGAUCAGCCACACUGGAACUGAGACACGGUCCAGACUGGUACGGGAGGGAGCAGUGGGGAAUAUUGGACAAUGGGCGCAAGCCUGAUCCAGCCAUACCGCGUGGGUGAAGAAGGCCUUCGGGUUGUAAAGCCCUUUUGUUGGGAAAGAAAAGCAGCAGGUUAAUACCCCGCUGUUCUGACGGUACCCAAAGAAUAAGCACCGGCUAACUUCGUG
Molecule: ribosomal RNA, 492 nt
Filed under: uncultured bacterium
Lineage: Bacteria
Description: partial 16S ribosomal RNA
Rfam family: Bacterial small subunit ribosomal RNA
Source: RNAcentral